UUGACAAAUGUGGAAAAAGAUUGUCAAAAACCAAGGGUUCUUCUACAUGUUGAUUGGAAAAUACUUUCCUCUAUACCUCGGAGACCGCAGACUGAAUUCAUCUUGACCAAUCUCUCUCCGUGGGAAGUUUUGUCCCAAGGCAGUUUUGGACACAGAAGAUCUGUACUCAUCCGGUGGUGUCUCCUUAGCCCCAUUCCAGGGAUGGACGGGAGGGCAGCUGUGCGGCCAGGAGACAGAGGCUUCUCAAGGCUGCUUUUCAAGACGCUGCCUCUGGACUCCAGCAACCAACAAAAGCCCAGACGCUGCUGAACCAAACACUAAUGUUCAUCUUCAGCUCUCCGAAGGAUGCUGGGCAGCAGGAGAAUGGAGCUGGAUGCCGUCUUUAUUCCCGAGUCAGAGACGAGACUGGCCUCACACUCAGAGAUCUGCCUGCCUCUGCCUCCCAAGUGCUAGAAUUCAGGCAUGUGUGCCACCAUCUCCAAAAUCUGUGGGAAAAGUCAACUACCAUUUUGAGAAGCCAUGAUGGACUAUGGAAAGAACAUACGGUGAGAAACUGAGGUCUGCCGGCCACCACAGUGGUCCUGGGGACAGGUCUAUCUCAGUCUAACUGCAGGCCUAAGGCACAUUGACUGUAACCACAGGAGAGACCUUGUACCCAAGAGAUCAGGAUAAUCCCCUUCAGAGAAACAAGUGUUUGUUGUUGAAGUUGCUGCUUUGGGGGACAAUUUGCUAUGCAACAGUUACACAGCAAGUGUGCUCCAUCAUUGAGUAGCUGGGAGAACAAGGACUUGAAGGAAGCCACGGCUCUUGUCAGCACUCUUUCUAGGAUAUAAAACUUCAACUUCUUCUUCCUCCUUCUCCUCCUUUGUUUAUUUAUUAUUAUAAAUAUAUAUAUAUUUUUUGAGACAGGGUUUUUCUGUAUAGCCCUGGCUGUCCUGGAACUCACUCUGUAGACCAGGCUGGCCUCGAACUUAGAAAUCCGCCUGCCUCUGCCUCCUGAGUGCUGGGAUUAAAGGCAUGCGCCACCACUCCCGGCUUCGUUUAUUUAUUUUAUAUAAGUACAUUGUCUUCAGAUACCAGAAGAGGGCAUUAGUUUCUAUUACGGAUGGUUGUGAGUCCCCAUGUGGCUGCUGGCAAUUGAACUCAGGACCUUUGGAAGAGCAGUCAGUGCUCUUAACCACUGAGCCAUCUCACCAGCAACACUGCCCCCUCCCCCGCCCCAACAAGUAUCUUUCUUACUAAUCAAUAAUAACCAUGUGAGUAAAAGGCUCACUUUGUUUAUUACGAGAAGGCUAUCCUAAAUUUUUAUACCACUCAGGCUACCUUCAAACUCAUGGGAAUCCUCCUGUCUCAACUUUCCAAGUGCUGGGACUGUAGGUGUAAGCCAUCACAACACAUCACAGGUUCUCUUCCUGCACAGAGGGAAUUUUUUUUUUGAGACUUCAUUUUUAUUUCAUGUGCAUGGAUGUUUUUGCCUAACUGUGUCUAUGCACCGCAAGCAUGCACUACCCACUGAGGCCAUGGGAAAGCAUUGGAUCCUCUGGAACUGGAUUUACAGGCAGCUGUGAGCUGCCAUGUGGGUGUGGGGAACCAAAUCCAGGUCUUCUGGAAGAACAGUCAGUGCUCUUAACCACUGAGACAUCUCGUACAGCCCCAAACAGAACAAAUUUUAUUAAGGUUUAGCUAGCUUUUGUAAAAACAAAUCUUACCCUACUUUUUUUUUUAGCAAGAAUAUUUUACUAAGGAAAUUUAUUUCAAAAAUACUGCACAUUUUAAAUCUUUUAGAAAACACUUUCUUAAAAUUGCUUAGAGGUGGCAGGGCAGUGGUGGCGCACACCUUUAAUCCCAGCACUUGGGAGGCAGAGGCAGGCAGAUUUCUGAGUUCAAGACCAGCCUGGUCUACAGAGUGAGUUCCAGGACAGCCAGGGAAACCCUGUCUCGAAAAAAAAAAAAAGUUUUUUUGCUUAGAGUGCUGCUCCACUGUCAAGAGUGGCUGUCAACCACACACCCUAGCUGUGAUCCCAAACAACUCUAUAAACCAAGCAUGACAUGGUUGGUGCUUUCCUGGAAGCCCAGCACUUGGGAAGCAAAUUCAAGAUCAAAAAUUGAAGACAUCCCUAACAUGUGGAUGUACACAAGGGUGCUACCCUUGGGCACGUGCUCUUGGGUUCUCUAAGAAAGCAGGCUGAGAAAGCCAUGAGGAGCAACUGUAUCUUCUGCUUCAGUUCCUGCCCCCAGGUUCCUGCCCUACCUUGAGUUCCUGCUUUGACUUCUCUCAGUGAUGACCCAUCGCCAGGAAGUGUUAGAUGAAAUAAAGUUUUUCUUCCCCAAGUUGCUUUUCGUCAGGAUGUUUUAUCAUAGUAAUAAAACCUUACCUAAGACGGGAGUUGGCACAAUGGACUAUCACUGUGACAGAUUGAACAUGUUUUGGGGAGGAUUGUGAAAGGCUUUUGGAACUUUGGGCCGGGAAAGCCAUUGAGGCUUCAGAGCUUGAUGGCUUGUUGUGUAAAUCUGGACUAUAGGAUCCUCAUGAACAGUGCAGAUCAUGGAAACCUCAGGUGUGAUGUUUCAGAGUGCAGUAAAGACCCCAUCAGGGCUGUUUGAGCUGUAGUUUGAAUUUAGAGCCACUGAAGUGAAACCUUUUCUUCAGGAUCGUUGAUACUGGUCAGCUGGAGCUGAGAAAUGAGCCUUCAUUAAAAAGACAUCAGCACCGACUGGAUAGCCACUGGCUCCCACCUGACUCGACUGUCCCAAUACAUCUGAAAACAAACAAGGAUGAUGCAGACUCAGCCGUCCCACUCUGCCUACACUGGGCUACCUUGGCAUUUCCAGUCCCCAAGAGAUGCCCCUACAUCCAAGCACCUGACUGAAUAUCCAAGACUCAAGAAACAUCUUAGGCUAUAUCCCCUCCCCCUGGCACCUUCCAAGUAAAGGUGUGCAUGUCCUCUCUGCUCUGCAGAAUUCUCUCCUUCCUGCACGCGACCAUUUGCUUGCUCACCAUGGCAGCCUCAGACCCAGCACAGGAGCCAUCAAAUAGCUUGUGAUGUCUGUGGGACCCAUGGAUAGGAUCGUGAGUGAGCUAGCUAGCAGGUUCCUUCCCUGAUGACCUGACCCUCCAGCAUCACCACCUUCACCUCUCUGACUUCUUAACUGGCAAUU
Long non-coding RNA from Mus musculus (house mouse), 3159 nucleotides. RefSeq annotates it as predicted gene, 26562. The transcript has 4 exons. The record is from RefSeq and is a predicted model, not a curated record. Lineage: Eukaryota; Metazoa; Chordata; Mammalia; Rodentia; Muridae.